This 1794-nucleotide ribosomal RNA is filed under the name Triticum aestivum (bread wheat). RNAcentral's name for it is "partial small subunit ribosomal RNA". Lineage: Eukaryota; Viridiplantae; Streptophyta; Magnoliopsida; Poales; Poaceae. The record is from RNAcentral.
AUGACCACGGAGCCUUCCACCUCCGCGGCGACCUCCACCGCCGCCGCCUUAGCAGGCGACGCUAGUUGCACGGAGCCGUGGAGCGCCAGGGUGCGCACCUUGGCACGCCUCGGCCGGCACCGGGAGGUCCUGGCCCUGCUCCGCGACGGCGACCCCUCGCCGCCGCCGCACGCCCUUGCGCUACCAGCCGCGGUCAUCUCCUGCACGGCGCUAUCCCUGGUCUCCGGCGUCGCCCAGAUACAGGCACUCGGUUGCAAGCGCGGCCUGCUCCCUUCCUCCGACGCCUACCUCCUCUCCUCGUUGCUCUCCUCCUACUCCCGCCUCGGCCUCCUCCCGCGCGCCGACCAACUCCUCGACGAAAUGCCCCUCGCGUCCACGCCUCCCACCACGCUCCGCACCGCCUUCAACUCCCUCAUCUCCGGAUGCGCGCUGCACGUGCUCCCGGCCGCCUACUUCGCCCUCUUCCGCCGCAUGCGGGCGCCCGGCGCCCCCUUCGACGCGGUCACGCUCAUGACGCUGCUCCAUGCCCUCGCGGGGAAAGCAGGGCUGGCGGCCGAGACAAACGUGGCCAACUGCCUCAUAUCAGUGUACGCACACCGCGGCGCUGGCCUUGCCCGGCAGGUGUUUGAUGAGAUGCCAUUGACCUCCCGUGACAUCGUCUCAUGGAACGUCGUGCUCUCAGCCCACGCACAGAAUGGCCUCGCCGUGGACGCCCUUGAUCUCUACAGCCGCAUGUGUGGCCACGAUGGCGGCGGCGUGGAGCCAGACGUCGUGGCCCUCGUGGGCGUGCUCUCCUCGUGUGCCCAUCUUGGAGCGCGCGGUGUAGGCCUGGGUGUCGAGCACUACAUGCAGGAGAGGCUCCCAGGCUUCCACGCCAACGUGCAGCUUUGCAACUCUCUCAUCAACUUCCAUGCACGUUGCGGCAGCUUGCCCCAGGCACAGCGGCUGUUCAAUGAAAUGCCUAGGAAGAGCAUUGUGUCUUGGACGGCACUGAUCACUGGGUAUGGCAUGCACGGGCAUGGCAAUGUUGCUGUAAAUCUCUUCCAGGCGAUGGUGUCACAAGGCAUCCGGCCAGAUAAUGUCGCGAUGGUCGGCCUCUUGUCGGCAUGCAGCCAUGCUGGAAUGUAUGAUGAGGGGCGCAAGUACUUCUCAGCAAUGGAGAGUACAUACCAGUUGCGGCCUACACUGGAGCACUACACCUGCAUGGUGGACCUCCUUGGACGGGCCGGCCGUCUCAAGGAGGCGCGAGAACUCAUCUCCUCAAUGCCCAUGCCUGCCGACGGUGCAGUGUGGGGUGCCCUUCUUGGGGCGUGCAAGAUACAUAAGAAUGUGGAGAUAGGGGAGGAGGCUUUCGAGCAUGUCAUCGAGCUCGAACCGAGCAAUGUGGGCUACUACGUGCUCAUGGUGAACUUAUACACAGACACAGGACAACCAGAUGGUGUCGUGAGGGCAAAAAGGAUUUACGAGCUUGUGAUUAAGCUUGAACAAAUGAUGAAGGAGAAAACAGAUGGCACUACAGAUAUGGAGCGAGGCAAAGUGGACGAGGGGCACUCCAAGAAAAUGGCUGCGCCGUUGAUCGGCUUUCACAGCGAGAAGCUCGCUGUGGCCUUUGGUAUGUUGAACACUGAUGACAUUGAGAUUGUGGUGAUCAAGAACCUAAGGAAUUUGGUGCUCAUUGUUAGGAGAAGGAAGAAUUCGCUCCAGAUCUUCAGUGCUCACUGGGACAGGCGUGGUGACUAUGCUUCCACUCCAGCUAUGAGAAAAGUGGAGGGUUGGAUCAAGAGCAGGGCCUAA